AUUGAACGCUGGCGGCAUGCCUUACACAUGCAAGUCGAACGGCAGCACGGGUGCUUGCACCUGGUGGCGAGUGGCGAACGGGUGAGUAAUACAUCGGAACAUGUCCCGUAGUGGGGGAUAGCCCGGCGAAAGCCGGAUUAAUACCGCAUACGAUCUACGGACGAAAGAGGGGGACCUUCGGGCCUCGCGCUAUAGGGUUGGCCGAUGGCUGAUUAGCUAGUUGGUGGGGUAAAGGCCUACCAAGGCGACGAUCAGUAGCUGGUCUGAGAGGACGACCAGCCACACUGGAACUGAGACACGGACCAGACUCCUACGGGAGGCAGCAGUGGGGAAUUUUGGGCAAUGGGCGAAAGCCUGAUCCAGCAAUGCCGCGUGUGUGAAGAAGGCCUUCGGGUUGUAAAGCACUUUUGUCCGGAAAGAAAUCCUUGGCCCUAAUACGGUCGGGGGAUGACGGUACCGGAAGAAUAAGCACCGGCUAACUACGUG
Molecule: ribosomal RNA, 486 nt
Filed under: uncultured bacterium
Lineage: Bacteria
Description: partial 16S ribosomal RNA
Rfam family: Bacterial small subunit ribosomal RNA
Source: RNAcentral